GCCUGGUUGGCUCAGUCGGUGGAGCACGAGACUCUCGAUCUCCGGGUCAUGAGUUCGAGCCCCAUGUUGAGCA
RNAcentral lists this transfer RNA (73 nucleotides) under Ailuropoda melanoleuca (giant panda). It matches the Rfam family "tRNA". From Rfam's summary of the family: Transfer RNA (tRNA) molecules are approximately 80 nucleotides in length. The record is from Rfam by way of RNAcentral. Lineage: Eukaryota; Metazoa; Chordata; Mammalia; Carnivora; Ursidae.